This 795-nucleotide ribosomal RNA is filed under the name Triticum aestivum (bread wheat). Its description in RNAcentral is "partial small subunit ribosomal RNA". Lineage: Eukaryota; Viridiplantae; Streptophyta; Magnoliopsida; Poales; Poaceae. The record is from RNAcentral.
AUGAGAGGCCUCAUUUGGAACUGCCAUGGGGUAGGCAAGAAAGGGAUGGCCACCUGCCUCUCAAACAUGAUCAAUGACCACUCCCUUGAUUUCCUGGGCUUACAAGAAACUAUGCAAAAAGAUUUCUCCCCUAAAUGCUUGAGGAGAAUUGACCCCUUUGGCACCUUUCAAUGGAAUUGGAUUUCCUCUGUUGAGAAAUCUGGUGGCAUUCUGUGUGGUGUUAGGAGUGAUAAACUAGAGAUAGUCUCCUGUUCUAAGGGUAAACAUAUACUACAAUUGGUACUGCAGAACAGACAAAAUAAGCUUAAGUGGGGCUUGCUUGUAGUAUAUGGACCAGCUCAUGAAGAGUUGAAGGGAGAUUUUUUGAUUGAGCUGGUUGCCACCUGCAAUGGGAUGCAAGUGCCUUACAUUGUUGGGGGCGACUUUAAUAUCCUUAGACACUCUGGAGAGAAGAACAAGAAACACAAUAGUCACAAAUCUACUGAUCUGUUUAAUUCUAUCAUUAGUACUUUAGCUCCGCGUAAGAUCCAUAUUAAUGGAGGGAAAUAUACUUGGACUAAUCAACAGGCCCAUCCCACACUAGAAAAACUGGAUCGUAUCCUCAUGUAUGAAGAGUGGGAAAAUAUGUACCCACUUGUCUCUGUUCGGAAGCUGGUCCAAGAGAUCUCUCAUCACAAUCCCCUAUUGCUGUCUACGGGGGAGGAGGGGCGAGAUGCCCCCAAACCAAGGGAAUUUCCUUUUGAUCUAUCCUGGAUUAAAGAUGAUAGAUUCCUGCCGCUAGUCAGACAGAUCUAG